ACCUUCCAGGUGGAGGGGUCCCUUUGGGAAUGUCUCAGGAGGGGGACCUGGGCCAAGGGCAACUCCAGGGCCCUGGGCAGGCUUC
Fukomys damarensis (Damara mole-rat) is the source of this 85-nucleotide unclassified non-coding RNA. Lineage: Eukaryota; Metazoa; Chordata; Mammalia; Rodentia; Bathyergidae. The record is from Ensembl.